AGUUCGAUCAUGGCUCAGAUUGAACGCUGGCAGGAUGUUUACAUGCAAGUCGGGCAGCGGCACGGACUUCGGUCUGGUGGCGAGUGGCGAACGGGUGGUAAUGUAUCGGAACGUGCCUAGUAGCGGGGAUAACUACGCGAAAGCGUAGCUAAUACCGCAUACGCCCUUCGAGAAGCGGGGACCUUCGGGCCUCGCACUAUUAGAGCAGCCGAUAUCGGAUUAGCUAGUUGGUGGGGUAACGGCUCACCAAGAGGCGACGAUCCGUAGCUGGUUUGAAGGACCUGAUAACCACUGGGACUGAGACACGGCCCAGACUCCUACGGGAGGCAGCAGUGGGGAAUUUUGGACAAUGGGGAAGCCACAGUCCAGCCAUCCCGCGUGUGCGAUGAAGGCCUUCGGGUUGUAACGCACGGCGGGAAAGAAACGGCUGGGAUGUACCCCGUGCAACUGACGUACCUGCAGAAUAGCCUUUCCCGGCUAACUACGUGCCAGCAGCCGCGGUAAUACGUAAGUGCAAGCGUUAAUCGGAAUUACUGGGCGUAAAGCGUGCGCAGGCGGUUCGGAAAGAUCUUGAAAUCCCAGAGCUUAACUUUGGAACUGCAUUUUUAACUACCGAGCUAGAGUGUGUCAGAGGGAGGUGGAAUUCCGCGUGUAGUGAAAUGCGUAGUAUGCGGAGGAACACCGAUGGCGAAGGCAGCCUCCUGGGAUAACACUGACGCUCAUGCACGAAAGCGUGGGGAGCAAACAGGAUUAGAUACCCUGGUAGUCCGCUACGAAAGCUUGAUGUCAACUAGCUGUUGGGGCCUUCAGACCUUGGUAGCGCAGCUAACGCGUGAAGUUGACCGCCUGGGGAGUACGGUCGCAAGAUUAAAACUCAAAGGAAUUGACGGGGACCCGCACAAGCGGUGGAUGAUGUGGAUUAAUUCGAUGCAACGCGAAAAGCCUUACCUACCCUUGACAUGUCUGGAAUCCCGAAGAGGUUGGGAGUGCUCGCAAGAGAACCGGAACACAGGUGCUGCAUGGCUGUCGUCAGCUCGUGUCGUAGAGAUGUUGAGUUGAGAAUCCGCAGCGGCGCAACCCUUGUCAUUAGUUGCUGCGAAGGGCACUCUAAUGAGACUACCGGUGACAAACCGGAGGAAGGUGGGGAUGACGUCAAGUCCUCAUGGCCCUUAUGGGUAGAGGGCUUCACACGUCAUACAAUGGUCGGGACAGAGGGUCGCCAACCCGCGAGAGGCCAAUCCCAGAAACCCGAUCGUAGUCUGGAUCGCAGUCUGCAACUUCAACUGCGUGAAGUCGGAAUCGCUAGUAAUCGCGGAUCAGCAUGUCGCGGUGAAUACGUUCCCAGGUCUUAGCACACACAACGUCACACCAUGGGAGUGGGUUUUACCAGAAGUAGUUAGCCUAACCGUAAGGAGGGCGAUUACCACGGUGGGAUUCAUGACUGGGGUGAAGUCGUAACAAGGUAA
This 1466-nucleotide ribosomal RNA is filed under the name uncultured Bordetella sp. Its description in RNAcentral is "partial 16S-23S ribosomal RNA intergenic spacer". It matches the Rfam family "Bacterial small subunit ribosomal RNA". The record is from RNAcentral. Lineage: Bacteria; Pseudomonadati; Pseudomonadota; Betaproteobacteria; Burkholderiales; Alcaligenaceae.